This 554-nucleotide ribosomal RNA is filed under the name uncultured bacterium. RNAcentral describes it as "partial 16S ribosomal RNA". It matches the Rfam family "Bacterial small subunit ribosomal RNA", at positions 355 to 902 of the family's 1533-position model. The record is from RNAcentral.
UGGGGAAUUUUGGACAAUGGGCGAAAGCCUGAUCCAGCAAUGCCGCGUGUGUGAAGAAGGCCUUCGGGUUGUAAAGCACUUUUGUCCGGAAAGAAGUCCUUGGCUCUAAUACAGUCGGGGGAUGACGGUACCGGAAGAAUAAGCACCGGCUAACUACGUGCCAGCAGCCGCGGUAAUACGUAGGGUGCAAGCGUUAAUCGGAAUUACUGGGCGUAAAGCGUGCGCAGGCGGUUUGCUAAGACCGAUGUGAAAUCCCCGGGCUCAACCUGGGAACUGCAUUGGUGACUGGCAGGCUAGAGUAUGGCAGAGGGGGGUAGAAUUCCACGUGUAGCAGUGAAAUGCGUAGAGAUGUGGAGGAAUACCGAUGGCGAAGGCAGCCCCCUGGGCCAAUACUGACGCUCAUGCACGAAAGCGUGGGGAGCAAACAGGAUUAGAUACCCUGGUAGUCCACGCCCUAAACGAUGUCAACUAGUUGUUGGGGAUUCAUUUCCUUAGUAACGUAGCUAACGCGUGAAGUUGACCGCCUGGGGAGUACGGUCGCAAGAUUAAAACUC